RNAcentral lists this ribosomal RNA (492 nucleotides) under uncultured bacterium. RNAcentral describes it as "partial 16S ribosomal RNA". It matches the Rfam family "Bacterial small subunit ribosomal RNA", at positions 29 to 507 of the family's 1533-position model. The record is from RNAcentral.
AGUGAACGCUGGCGGUAGGCCUAACACAUGCAAGUCGAACGGCAGCACAGUAAGAGCUUGCUCUUACGGGUGGCGAGUGGCGGAUGGGUGAGGAAUACAUCGGAAUCUACUUUUUCGUGGGGGAGAACGUAGGGAAACUUACGCUAAUACCGCAUACGACCUACGGGUGAAAGCAGGGGAUCUUCGUACCUUUCGCGUUUGAACGAGCCGAUGUCGGAUUAGCUAGUUGGCGGGGUAAAGGCCCACCAAGGCGACUAUCCGUAGCUGGUCUGAGAGGAUGAUAAGCCACACUGGAACUGAGACACGGUCCAGACUCCUACGGGAGGCAGCAGUGGGGAAUAUGGGACAAUGGGCGCAAGCCUGAUCCAGCCAUAGCGAGUGGGUGAAGAAGGCCUUCGGGUUGUAAAGCCCUUUUGUUGGUAAAGAAAAGCAGCAGGUUAAUACCCCGCUGUUCUGACGGUACCCAAAGAAUAAGCACCGGCUAACUACGUG